RNAcentral lists this long non-coding RNA (1152 nucleotides) under Salvia miltiorrhiza (redroot sage). RNAcentral's name for it is "long non-coding RNA (SMIL_LNC002471)". Lineage: Eukaryota; Viridiplantae; Streptophyta; Magnoliopsida; Lamiales; Lamiaceae. The record is from RNAcentral.
AACCCGCCGCACCAGAGCUCGCCGGAGCAACGGCGACAGCCACUCAUCCCUCGGUUCUCACCUCUUCUCUCUCUAUCUCGCCGGAAAAACAGAGCCACGCUCCGCCUCCGCUGUGCGCUGUCGUCGCCGCUUGCUCGCCUCCUUCUCCGGCCCCUUGCUCGGAAUAGGGCAGCAGAGGCUACCCCCACCGUCGCAUCCAUCUUCGCCGCCCACAACCACCGCCGGACUCACGGGGAAGAGCCGAGCGUCGCCGCUCCCGUCGUUCGUCUUGCUGGAAUCGCGGUGGAGGCCGAGCCUUGCCUCGCCGGGAAGGUAGGCUCCAGAUCUGAGCUCCCCCUCUUUUUCUCUUUUCCGGCCGACCAGGAACAGCUCGGUGCUCCCGCUGCCGUGUCGCCGCUGCCGAUGCCGCCGCAUCGUCGUCACCGGAGAAGAUAAGUUCUCCCUCCUAUCUCUCUCUCUCCCUCCCCUGUUCUCCCUUCUCUUUUUUUUGUUAUAAUCUAAUCUCUCCCCCUUUCCCUUCUCUCUCGUUUUGGCAGAACAGGGACUGGACGACAGUUGCCGCCGCGCCGCCGUUGCCGGCGCCGAACAGCCGUCUGCUGCUCCCUCCUUCCCCUCUCACGAUUCGAACAACACACACGCAAGCAAAACACAAGGAACUCUCCAAAUUUUUCAGUCCAGAUUCAAAAUAUAGAACAAGUUAGGGUUUUAAAAAUCUGUUCUUUCAAUCAUUCAUUUCCUUUUUAUUAAAACUGAUUGUACAUGUAAUAGAUUAGAGAAUAUAGUAAAAUGUGUGCGUGUGUAUUAUUCUGUUGGUGGUUCUCUGAUGGUAAUAAGCUGAUGUAAUUGAAACAAUAAUAGUCUAAAAGAAGUGGUAAUGGAUGCGUGUGUUCGAUCUGUUUUCAUUUGAAUCAUAGUUUUGUAAUUUAACAAAUGAAUGUAUGGAGAAAGUAAAGUAGGAGGUAACCUUGAUAUGAGUAGGAAAUGAGGAAAAUCUUCUUUCUGAAUUCACCAAAAUUGGAUCUGCGAAUUUAUUCAGCCAAGCUUAACAAUGAAAUUUUGGAUCUGAAAACUAUGAAAGAAUUGGAAGAAUUAAUGGACGUUUAUUACCUCUUUCUUGUUUUGGGAAAUCUUGGAAACUGAUUUGGAAAGCUG